CUUUUCCAUUGGCCACAGGAUAAAAAAAAAUUUUGGUUGUAGCUAUUAAUUAUCUCACUAAAUGGAUGAAAGCUAAACCUCUGGCAUAAAUCACCAAAAAAAAAGAUAUAGAAUUUUGUGUGAAAAUCAAUUAUCUACCAUUUCAGUUUGCUUCGAGUCAUAAUCACUCAUAAUGGAUGACAAUUUGAUAAUCAAAAAUUUAAAAAAUUCUAUUUUAAGCUCUAUAUUGAUCAUAGAUAUAUCUCGAUUGAUUAUUCAUAAUCAAAUAGAGAAGCCAAAGUCACUAACUGAACUAUAUCCUUCAAGAUCUGAAGAUAAAGCUCGCUGAAGCUAAAGGAC
Molecule: long non-coding RNA, 339 nt
Filed under: Elaeis guineensis (African oil palm)
Lineage: Eukaryota; Viridiplantae; Streptophyta; Magnoliopsida; Arecales; Arecaceae
Description: long non-coding RNA (EGUI_LNC033455)
Source: RNAcentral